UGGCAGAGGUUACUGCUAUCGAGGUUCGACUAAGCCAUGCGAGGUCGAAUGUAGCAAUACAUGGCGUACUGCUCAGUAACACGUGNHCAACCUACCCUUAGGCCUGGGAUAACCCCGGGAAACUGGGAAUAAUACCGGAUAUCUCGCGAAUGCUGGAAUGCAUCGCGAUAGAAAGCUCCGGCGCCUAAGGAUGGGUCUGCGGCCUAUCAGGGUAGUAGUGGGUGUAAUGUACCUACUAGCCUACGACGGGUACGGGUUUGUGAGAGCAAGAGCCCGGAGAUGGAUUCUGAGACACGAAUCCAGGCCCUACGGGGUGCAGCAGGCGCGAAAACUUUACAAUGCUGGCAACAGCGAUAAGGGGACCUCGAGUGCCAGGAUACAAUCCUGGCUGUCGUAAUGCCUAAAAAGCAUUGCAUAGCAAGGGGCGGGCAAGACCGGUGCCAGCCGCCGCGGUAACACCGGCGGCUCGAGUGGUAACCGCUAUUAUUGGGUCUAAAGGGUCUGUAGCCGGCUGACUAAGUCUCUUGGGAAAUCUGGCAGCUCAACUGUYAGGCUUUCAGGAGAUACUGAUCGGCUCGAGACCGGGAGAGGUGACACGUACCUCAGGGGUAGGGGUGAAAUCUUGUAAUCCUUGAGGGACCACCAGUGGCGAAGGCGUCUCACCAGAACGGAUCUGACGGCAAGGGACGAAAGCUAGGGGCACGAACCGGAUUAGAUACCCGGGUAGUCCUAGCCGUAAACGAUACUCGCUAGGUGUCGGGCACGGUGCGACCGUGGUCGGUGCCGUAGGGAAGCCGUGAAGCGAGCCACCUGGGAAGUACGGCCGCAAGGCUGAAACUUAAAGGAAUUGGCGGGGAGCACUACAACGGGUGGAGCUUGCGGUUUAAUUGGAUUCAACGCCGGAAAUCUCACCGGGACCGACAGCGAUAUGAAGGCCAGGCUGAAGACCUUGCCGGAUUAGCUGAGAGGUGGUGCAUGGCCGUCGUCAGUUCGUACUGUGAAGCAUCCUGUUAAGUCAGGHAACGAGCGAGA
This 1032-nucleotide ribosomal RNA is filed under the name uncultured archaeon. RNAcentral's name for it is "bacterial SSU rRNA". It matches the Rfam family "Archaeal small subunit ribosomal RNA", at positions 15 to 1050 of the family's 1478-position model. The record is from RNAcentral.